Long non-coding RNA from Apis florea (little honeybee), 928 nucleotides. Lineage: Eukaryota; Metazoa; Arthropoda; Insecta; Hymenoptera; Apidae. The record is from RefSeq and is a predicted model, not a curated record.
AUGUACUUUAAAAACAUGAGGAAUCAAGAAACUUAUAGUCUAAAGGAGGAGAACAGAAGAUAUUUGUACGUGCUCUAAAAAUGUGAGGAAUCAAGAAAUUUAUCUUACCCUAAAGGAAGAGAACAGAAGACACUUGCAUGCACUUUAAGAAUAUGAGGAAUUGGAAAAACCUGAAGGGAAGAGAACAGAAGAUACUUGCACGUGCUUUAAAAACGUGAGGGAUCAAGAAAUUUAUGCCCUAAAGGAAGAGAACAGAAGACACUUGCACGCGCCCUAAGAAUAUGAAUCGAGAAACCUACACCCUGAAGGUAACGAAGCCCUAAGUGACAGCGGAAGCGAGGAUUUUAAGUGCGGAGCCGAAACACAUAUUUCUGGACGCCGUCUAUAUUUACACUUGGUGUGCACCUAUGCGCAGGAGAGGCGCUGAGCGAUUUACGCGUCUGGAACUCCCGGCAUUCCGCGCCAUUUUCUUUGUGUCCCGUCAAUUCUCUCUGGAAGCCAGAUACCAGUUUCAAAUUCCGUUUAUACGCUAUAUCCUCUCUCUCUCUCUCUCAACUGACUUGCCAAUUCACGGUUAAACCCUCCAUACACGAUUUAAAUUGUCCGCCAGACUUGUCUGUCUGGAUACGUCUGUCAUGGAUUUAGAUGUUUGGACGAGUUUGAGAUGGAACUGCACUGUUAUUUUAGCUUGAGCAUCUGAGAUUGGUGAACGUGUAGAGAUUGCAGGAAAGAUUGUUGAGAUUUGCGAAUGAUGCCUUGCACGAGGAGUUGUUAUUAUCUCGUGACUAGUAAUGGGUUAGAGAAUCACUUGGUAUAGAUUCGAAUCAGUUUAAAUAAUGAAAAUUUUGGUAAAAAAUCUUGCUUUUAUAAGUUUGCAUCUAUCUUUUUAUCGCUUUCACUUAAAUCUUAUUAACUGCUACUAUUCCAU